GCUCAUUAAAUCAGUUAUCGUUUAUUUGAUAGUACCUUACUACUUGGAUAACCGUGGUAAUUCUAGAGCUAAUACAUGCUAAAAACCCCAACUUCGGGAGGGGUGUAUUUAUUAGAUAAAAAACCAAUGCCCUUCGGGGCUCCUUGGUGAUUCAUGAUAACUUCUCAGAUCGCAUGGCUUUACGCCGGCGACGGUUCAUUCAAAUUUCUGCCCUAUCAACUUUCGAUGGUAAGGUAGUGGCUUACCAUGGUUUCAACGGGUAACGGGGAAUUAGGGUUCGAUUCCGGAGAGGGAGCCGGAGGAACGGCUACCACAUCCAAGGAAGGCAGCAGGCGCGCAAAUUACCCAAUUCCGAUACGGAGAGGUAGUGACAAUAAAUACUGAUACAGGGCUCUUUUGGGUCUUGUAAUUGGAAUGAGUACAAUUUAAACCUCUUAACGAGGAACAAUUGGAGGGCAAGUCUGGUUAAAGUUGUUGCAGUUAAAAAGCUCGUAGUUGAACCUUUGGCCUGGCUGGCAGGUCCGCCUCACCGCGUGCACUUGUCCGGCCGGGCCUUUUCUUCUGGAGAACCGCAUGCCCUUCACUGGGUGUGUUGGGGACCAGGACUUUUACUUUGAAAAAAUUAGAGUGUUCAAAGCAGGCCUUUGCUCGAAUACGUUAGCAUGGAAUAAUAGAAUAGGACGUGCGGUCCUAUUUUGUUGGUUUCUAGGACCGCCGUAAUGAUUAAUAGGGACAGUCGGGGGCAUCAGUAUUCAAUUGUCAGAGGUGAAAUUCUUGGAUUUAUUGAAGACUAACUACUGCGAAAGCAUUUGCCAAGGAUGUUUUCAUUAUCAGUGAACGAAAGUUAGGGAUCGAGACGAUCAGAUACGUCGUAGUCUACAUAAACUAUGCGACUAUGAUCGG
Molecule: ribosomal RNA, 903 nt
Filed under: Phaeodothis mori
Lineage: Eukaryota; Fungi; Ascomycota; Dothideomycetes; Pleosporales; Didymosphaeriaceae
Description: SSU rRNA
Rfam family: Eukaryotic small subunit ribosomal RNA
Source: RNAcentral